This 730-nucleotide ribosomal RNA is filed under the name uncultured bacterium. RNAcentral's name for it is "bacterial SSU rRNA". It matches the Rfam family "Bacterial small subunit ribosomal RNA", at positions 46 to 777 of the family's 1533-position model. The record is from RNAcentral.
GCUUAACACAUGCAAGUCGAGGGGUAUUGGUUUUCGGACCAAGAGACCGGCGCACGGGUGCGUAACGCGUAUGCAAUCUACCUUUUGCAGGGGAAUAGCCCAGAGAAAUUUGGAUUAAUGCCCCAUAGUAUAAUGAUUUGGCAUCGGAUUAUUAUUAAAGUCACAACGGCAAAAGAUGAGCAUGCGUCCCAUUAGCUAGUUGGUAAGGUAACGGCUUACCAAGGCGACGAUGGGUAGGGGUCCUGAGAGGGAGAUCCCCCACACUGGUACUGAGACACGGACCAGACUCCUACGGGAGGCAGCAGUGAGGAAUAUUGGACAAUGGGCGCAAGCCUGAUCCAGCCAUGCCGCGUGCAGGAUGAAGCAUCUAUGGUGUGUAAACUGCUUUUGUACGAGAAGAAACACUCCAACGUGUUGGAGCUUGACGGUAUCGUAAGAAUAAGGAUCGGCUAACUCCGUGCCAGCAGCCGCGGUAAUACGGAGGAUCCAAGCGUUAUCCGGAAUCAUUGGGUUUAAAGGGUCCGUAGGCGGCCUUAUAAGUCAGUGGUGAAAUCUCACGGCUCAACCGUGAAAUGGCCAUUGAUACUGUAGGGCUUGAAUUAUUAGGAAGUAACUAGAAUAUGUAGUGUAGCGGUGAAAUGCUUAGAGAUUACAUGGAAUACCGAUUGCGAAGGCAGGUUACUACUAAUGGAUUGACGCUGAUGGACGAAAGCGUGGGUAGCGAACAGGA